GACAGAGGGUGCAACCGUUGUUCGGAAUUACUGGGCGUAAAGCGAGUGUAGGCGGUUUGGUAAGUCGGAUGUGAAAGCCCCGGGCUCAACCCGGGAAGUGCACUCGAUACUGCCAAGCUAGAGUAUCGGAGAGGUUGGUGGAAUUCUCGGUGUAGAGGUGAAAUUCGUAGAUAUCGAGAGGAACACCGGUGGCGAAGGCGGCCAACUGGACGAAUACUGACGCUGAGACGCGAAAGCGUGGGGAGCAAACAGG
RNAcentral lists this ribosomal RNA (253 nucleotides) under uncultured bacterium. RNAcentral describes it as "partial 16S ribosomal RNA". It matches the Rfam family "Bacterial small subunit ribosomal RNA", at positions 524 to 776 of the family's 1533-position model. The record is from RNAcentral.